RNAcentral lists this ribosomal RNA (474 nucleotides) under Triticum aestivum (bread wheat). RNAcentral describes it as "partial small subunit ribosomal RNA". Lineage: Eukaryota; Viridiplantae; Streptophyta; Magnoliopsida; Poales; Poaceae. The record is from RNAcentral.
AUGUCCUCUGUCAUAGACAACUUGUUCAUCUUCUGCUCAGUAUCCAGCGACAGACACAACAUGGGCAUCCCAACCACAAUGGCCUCCAGCAACGAGUUCCAUCUGCAAUGCGUCACGAACGCGCCAGUGGCCCGAUGGCCGAGCACGUUCAUCUGCAGCACCCACGACUUGACGACCAGGCCCCUGCCCUUGGUCCAGAGUACGACAAGUUCCGGCUCGGGGUGCACUUCCAAGUAUUUCUCUGGGUCAUCACUUCCCGCAGGCAUGCGCGCGGACCAUAGGAACCGCUGCCUUGACCUCUCCAAGCAAAUGGAUAUCUUCUUGAGCUGCUCCGCCGAGAGUGCGCCCUUGCUCCCGAAACAGAGGAACACAAUGAUGCGGUCGGGAUGUGCAUCGAGCCACUCGAGGCAUUCAUUCCUCUCUGCUUUGUCUUCAUCCUUGGUGCCCUUGCUGACCAACGGACCAACGCAGUAG